GGGGGCGUCACGGCUUCGACGCGUUUGGUGAAUAUAGAGUAGCGUGCCGAGGUUCCUGGGUCCUCGUAAAACCCCNUGGAAAACCUUAAUUGCCAACAAUGANCUGGCAUUGGCUGCGUAACUUCGGUUCGUAGUCCGUUUCCUGAUCUGCCUGCCCGAGGCGGGUCUCCGAGACGUCGAUGAGUCGGGCUGGUNUCUGGNNGGUGCUGCCCUGGUCAGGGAUGAGAUGUUCAGGUAGCUAGUUUGGGGACCGGUUGCUCGCUCNCCGCCCCGGGCGAAAUACUGAGUGACGCUACGCACGUAGAGGCUNUGUAGGAUCCAUUUGCGGACGCGGGUUCNACUCCCGCCGCCUCCAUCA
This 358-nucleotide transfer-messenger RNA is filed under the name Gemmatimonadota bacterium. RNAcentral describes it as "Gemmatimonadetes bacterium transfer-messenger RNA". It matches the Rfam family "transfer-messenger RNA". Rfam says of the family: Bacterial tmRNA, also known as 10Sa RNA or SsrA, is named for its dual tRNA and mRNA-like properties. Its role is to liberate the mRNA from a stalled ribosome. The record is from RNAcentral. Lineage: Bacteria; Pseudomonadati; Gemmatimonadota.